UGCGUAGGCGGACAUUUAAGUCAGAUGUGAAAUACCCGAGCUUAACUUGGGUGCUGCAUUUGAAACUGGGUGUCUAGAGUGCAGGAGAGGUAAGUGGAAUUCCUAGUGUAGCGGUGAAAUGCGUAGAGAUUAGGAAGAACACCAGUGGCGAAGGCGACUUACUGGACUGUAACUGACGCUGAGGCAUGAAAGCGUGGGGAGCAAACAGGAUUAGAUACCCCCGUA
Molecule: ribosomal RNA, 225 nt
Filed under: uncultured Clostridium sp.
Lineage: Bacteria; Bacillati; Bacillota; Clostridia; Eubacteriales; Clostridiaceae
Description: partial 16S ribosomal RNA
Rfam family: Bacterial small subunit ribosomal RNA
Source: RNAcentral